This 693-nucleotide ribosomal RNA is filed under the name uncultured Bacteroidales bacterium. Its description in RNAcentral is "bacterial SSU rRNA". It matches the Rfam family "Bacterial small subunit ribosomal RNA", at positions 32 to 715 of the family's 1533-position model. Lineage: Bacteria; Pseudomonadati; Bacteroidota; Bacteroidia; Bacteroidales. The record is from RNAcentral.
AACGCUAGCUACAGGCUUAACACAUGCAAGUCGAGGGGCAGCAUCAUCAAAGCUUGCUUUGAUGGAUGGCGACCGGCGCACGGAUGAGUAACACGUAUCCAACCUGCCGACAACACUGGGAUAGCCUUUCGAAAGAAAGAUUAAUACCGGAUGGCAUAGUUUUCCCGCAUGGGAUAAUUAUUAAAGAAUUUCGGUUGUCGAUGGGGAUGCGUUCCAUUAGGCAGUUGGCGGGGUAACGGCCCACCAAACCUACGAUGGAUAGGGGUUCUGAGAGGAAGGUCCCCCACAUUGGAACUGAGACACGGUCCAAACUCCUACGGGAGGCAGCAGUGAGGAAUAUUGGUCAAUGGACGAGAGUCUGAACCAGCCAAGUAGCGUGAAGGAUGACUGCCCUAUGGGUUGUAAACUUCUUUUAUAUGGGAAUAAAGUUUUCCACGUGUGGAAUUUUGUAUGUACCAUAUGAAUAAGGAUCGGCUAACUCCGUGCCAGCAGCCGCGGUAAUACGGAGGAUCCGAGCGUUAUCCGGAUUUAUUGGGUUUAAAGGGAGCGUAGGUGGAUUGUUAAGUCAGUUGUGAAAGUUUGCGGCUCAACCGUAAAAUUGCAGUUGAAACUGGCAGUCUUGAGUACAGUAGAGGUGGGCGGAAUUCGUGGUGUAGCGGUGAAAUGCUUAGAUAUCACGAAGAACUCCGAUUG